Molecule: long non-coding RNA, 228 nt
Filed under: Prunus persica (peach)
Lineage: Eukaryota; Viridiplantae; Streptophyta; Magnoliopsida; Rosales; Rosaceae
Description: long non-coding RNA (PPER_LNC003832)
Source: RNAcentral
UUGUUUCUCUCUCAUAAUAAUGUUAUUAAAUAAAUAAAAAAUAAAAAAAUUAACCAUAGUUAAACCCAUGGAUAUGUGUCAACUUUUGGGAGGGGUGGUGAGGGUACACCUAAGGUUAAGGUGGUGAGCAAAAAUGCACCCUUUCUCUAAUAUUUUCUUUUGGACCUUCUCCAUUUUCCUCAUGACAUGUAUCACUUUCCUUACACUUAAAACAAUGUCAUCAAUGCA